GUAGGAGCCGGCUUGCUGGCGAUACAGUCAACGCGGUCUCUUUGAGCAUCGCGUUUAUCCAAUCGCCAGCAAGCCGGCUCCUAC
RNAcentral lists this unclassified non-coding RNA (84 nucleotides) under Pseudomonas umsongensis. Lineage: Bacteria; Pseudomonadati; Pseudomonadota; Gammaproteobacteria; Pseudomonadales; Pseudomonadaceae. The record is from RNAcentral.